This 253-nucleotide ribosomal RNA is filed under the name uncultured bacterium. RNAcentral's name for it is "partial 16S ribosomal RNA". It matches the Rfam family "Bacterial small subunit ribosomal RNA", at positions 524 to 776 of the family's 1533-position model. The record is from RNAcentral.
UACGGGGGGUGCGAGCGUUGUCCGGAAUCACUGGGCGUAAAGGGCGCGUAGGUGGCGUCGUAAGUCUGUGGUGAAAGCCCGGAGCUCAACUCCGGGUCUGCCGCGGAUACUGCGAGGCUUGAGUGCUGUAGAGGGGGGUAGAAUGCCGGGUGUAGCGGUGGAAUGCGUAGAGAUCCGGCAGAAGACCGGUGGCGAAGGCGGCCCCCUGGGCAGUAACUGACGCUGAGGCGCGAAAGCUAGGGGAGCAAACAGG